Molecule: ribosomal RNA, 523 nt
Filed under: uncultured bacterium
Lineage: Bacteria
Description: bacterial SSU rRNA
Rfam family: Bacterial small subunit ribosomal RNA
Source: RNAcentral
UGGGGAAUAUUGGACAAUGGGCGCAAGCCUGAUCCAGCCAUGCCGCGUGAGUGAUGACGGCCUUAGGGUUGUAAAGCUCUUUCGCACGCGACGAUAAUGACGGUAGCGUGAGAAGAAGCCCCGGCUAACUUCGUGCCAGCAGCCGCGGUAAUACGAAGGGGGCUAGCGUUGUUCGGAUUAACUGGGCGUAAAGGGUGCGUAGGCGGGCUUUUAAGUCAGGGGUGAAAUCCCGAGGCUCAACCUCGGAACUGCCUUUGAUACUGGAAGUCUUGAGUCCGGGAGAGGUGAGUGGAACUGCGAGUGUAGAGGUGAAAUUCGUAGAUAUUCGCAAGAACACCAGUGGCGAAGGCGGCUCACUGGCCCGGAACUGACGCUGAGGCACGAAAGCGUGGGGAGCAAACAGGAUUAGAUACCCUGGUAGUCCACGCCUUAAACGAUGAAUGCUAGCCGUUGGUCAGCUUGCUGAUCCGUGGCGCCGUUAACACAUUAAGCAUUCCGCCUGGGGAGUACGGUCGCAAGAUUA